ACCUCUGAGUCUGAUCGGAAGC
Molecule: microRNA, 22 nt
Filed under: Electrophorus electricus (electric eel)
Lineage: Eukaryota; Metazoa; Chordata; Actinopteri; Gymnotiformes; Gymnotidae
Description: eel-miR-11063-5p
Source: miRBase by way of RNAcentral